AUUCCAGCUCUUAAAGUGUAUAUUAAAGUUGUUGCAGUUAAAAGCUCGUAGUCUAUCAUCUAGUGUUUUACGACAUGGAGCAAUUCAUGACGCUAAAGCGCUAUCUGUUCGAGAACUUCUUCUACCUUAACUGGUCGAAGAUGCUGAUCGGACAUUUUCCUGAGAAAAAUUAGAGUGUUUAAAGCAGGCUAUUGCAAUGAAUAUUACAGCUUGGAAUAAUAGAAUAAGACUAGAGUCUCUUUUGUUGGUUAUGAACUUUAGUAAUGGUUAAUAUAAACAGUCGGGGUAUUAGUAUUUAAGUGUCAGAGGUGAAAUUCUAUGAUUACUUAAAGACUAACUUAUGCGAAAGCAUUUACCAAGGAUGUUUUUCAUUUGAUCAAGAACGAAAGUUAGGGGAUCAAAGACGAUCAGAUACCGUCCUAGUCUUAACUAUAAACGAUUCCGACCAAGGAUCGGGAGGGUCAGCUAAGCCUUCUCGGCACUUUAUGAGAAAUCAAAGUCUUUAGGUUCCGGGGGGAGUA
RNAcentral lists this ribosomal RNA (521 nucleotides) under uncultured marine eukaryote. RNAcentral's name for it is "bacterial SSU rRNA". It matches the Rfam family "Eukaryotic small subunit ribosomal RNA", at positions 582 to 1125 of the family's 1831-position model. The record is from RNAcentral.